This is a long non-coding RNA of Labrus mixtus (cuckoo wrasse), 953 nucleotides long. RefSeq lists it as uncharacterized. The record is from RefSeq and is a predicted model, not a curated record. NCBI's taxonomy places the organism in Eukaryota, Metazoa, Chordata, Actinopteri, Labriformes, Labridae. The transcript has 5 exons.
CGUCACUUGCCUCUGUUUCCCGCGCCAUUCGACGUGCACGCGCGGGGACGAACAGGCACGUAACCGCUGGGAGACUGUCUGGAGUCUGUCUGAAAAUUGAUAAAAUUGGAGAUGGAGUUUUUUUUGCGUCUGUUUGAAGGUUUGCGCCGAAGCCGCCUGCUGGAAAUGGGAUUUCUUUUUUUUAUAUAUAUGGCUCACCUCCUCAAAAAACGCCUUCGCCCUGGAGACGCCGGGCUGAGCCAAAAAUAUGUUUUUAGAUAAACGCUGUGAAAGUUUUUUUUCUUCUCUCUGCAGUCUCUCACGCAGACAGCUCUUUACGCACAGCUCGCCCAAGGGAGCAGCCAUCGGCCGCUGGAGUUCAAGAGGAGUGCACCGUCCAGGAAGCCGUCUGCACCGUCUCAGAGAGGUGUUCUCGUCCUGCCUCCUCUCAUGACUUCACUGUGUUUCGGGUGCUUCGGCGCGUCUUCUGAAAUAGGUCCACCUUCCACUUCAUAACGACUCCAUCGCAAGGCCGUCCACAUCCAAACUGCAGGGAGGAGAAUCUUUCAGUGAGCCGCUGGUGAAACUAGGAAGGAAGAUGUCAUGCUAAGGAUGGUUGUUUUCUUUUUUUUUUUUUGGGGUGAUGAUGUUGCUGCUGUUGAUGCAGCAUCGAGCUCUCACUUUGUGCCUCUGUCAGCUAUGAUGCGUAACCACAGAGUGAGUGACAGGCCGGUCCCCGGGGAGAGCAAGGGGGCCUGAGGUGAGUCAGACGUCUCCUUGACCCUGUCGAGCUGUGUCAGCAAGCAACACCAACUCGGUGAGAAAAGCCAGAAAUGGCAUGACUGUACGUUGUACAUCUUAAUUUAGUAUGUAGAAGAAGAAGUAAACGGCCCCUUCAGCUCGGCUAUCUGUGCACAAACUCCCUCCAUGCAGGAUCUCUGUCAUUAAACUGCAGCCCUGCACAUUACCACUCA